AAUGCAAUGAUGAUAUUGGGGAUUUCGAAAGUGGCGACAUCAAUUGCCGUGAGCUUUCAAUCCAAAAAACGACUUCUCUUUCCACUGAGCAUU
This 93-nucleotide small nucleolar RNA is filed under the name Leersia perrieri. RNAcentral's name for it is "snoRNA snoZ152". It matches the Rfam family "Small nucleolar RNA Z152/R70/R12/". From Rfam's summary of the family: Z152 is a member of the C/D class of snoRNA which contain the C (UGAUGA) and D (CUGA) box motifs. Most of the members of the box C/D family function in directing site-specific 2'-O-methylation of substrate RNAs. The record is from Rfam by way of RNAcentral. Lineage: Eukaryota; Viridiplantae; Streptophyta; Magnoliopsida; Poales; Poaceae.